AACUAAGGCAAUUAAUUAAUCUAUGAUUUCGAUCCCAUCUGAUCUCGGAAGCUAAGUGGGGUCGGGCCUGGUUACUACUUGGAUGGGAGACCACCUAAGAAGACCAGGUGCUGUGGGCA
This 119-nucleotide ribosomal RNA is filed under the name Pteropus alecto (black flying fox). Lineage: Eukaryota; Metazoa; Chordata; Mammalia; Chiroptera; Pteropodidae. The record is from RNAcentral.